RNAcentral lists this ribosomal RNA (489 nucleotides) under uncultured bacterium. Its description in RNAcentral is "partial 16S ribosomal RNA". It matches the Rfam family "Bacterial small subunit ribosomal RNA", at positions 30 to 506 of the family's 1533-position model. The record is from RNAcentral.
AUUGAACGCUGGCGGCAGGCCUAACACAUGCAAGUCGAACGGUAACAGGAAGAAGCUUGCUUCUUUGCUGACGAGUGGCGGACGGGUGAGUAAUGUCUGGGAAACUGCCUGAUGGAGGGGGAUAACUACUGGAAACGGCAGCUAAUACCGCAUAACGUCGCAAGAUCAAAGAGGGGGACCUUCGGGCCUCUUGCCAUCGGAUGUGCCCAGAUGGGAUUAGCUAGUAGGUGGGGUAACGGCUCACCUAGGCGACGAUCCCUAGCUGGUCUGAGAGGAUGACCAGCCACACUGGAAAUGAGACACGGUCCAGACUCCUACGGGAGGCAGCAGUGGGGAAUAUUGCACAAUGGGCGCAAGCCUGAUGCGGCCAUGCCGCGUGUAUGAAGAAGGCCUUCGGGUUGUAAAGUACUUUCAGCGGGGAGGAAGGGAGUAAAGUUAAUACCUUUGCUCAUUGACGUUACCCGCAGAAGAAGCACCGGCUAACUCCGU